RNAcentral lists this ribosomal RNA (253 nucleotides) under uncultured bacterium. Its description in RNAcentral is "partial 16S ribosomal RNA". It matches the Rfam family "Bacterial small subunit ribosomal RNA", at positions 524 to 776 of the family's 1533-position model. The record is from RNAcentral.
UACGUAGGUGACCAGCGUUGUCCGGAUUUACUGGGCGUAAAGAGCGCGCAGGCGGUCGUUCAAGUCGAGUGUGAAAGCCCCCGGCUCAACCGAGGAAGUGCGUUCGAAACUGCAGUUCUUGAGUGUCGGAGAGGGUGGCGGAAUUCCCGGUGUAGAGGUGAAAUUCGUAGAUAUCGGGAGGAACACCAGAGGCGAAGGCGGCCACCUGGACGAACACUGACGCUGAGGCGCGAAAGCGUGGGGAGCAAACAGG